UCGUUGUGUACCGAGUGGUGAUGCCAGC
Molecule: small RNA, 28 nt
Filed under: Bombyx mori (domestic silkworm)
Lineage: Eukaryota; Metazoa; Arthropoda; Insecta; Lepidoptera; Bombycidae
Description: ovarian small RNA-7671
Source: RNAcentral